Molecule: transfer RNA, 75 nt
Filed under: Candidatus Omnitrophota bacterium
Lineage: Bacteria; Pseudomonadati; Candidatus Omnitrophota
Description: tRNA-Gln
Rfam family: tRNA
About the family: Transfer RNA (tRNA) molecules are approximately 80 nucleotides in length. Their secondary structure includes four short double-helical elements and three loops (D, anti-codon, and T loops).
Source: RNAcentral
UGCCCGGUAGUGUAAUUGGCAACACCCGAGAAUUUGGAUCUCGUUUUCCAGGUUCGAGUCCUGGCCGGGCAGCCA